Molecule: ribosomal RNA, 253 nt
Filed under: uncultured bacterium
Lineage: Bacteria
Description: partial 16S ribosomal RNA
Rfam family: Bacterial small subunit ribosomal RNA
Source: RNAcentral
UACGUAGGGUGCAAGCGUUGUCCGGAAUCAUUGGGCGUAAAGGGCGCGUAGGUGGUUUUGUAUGUCUACCGUGAAAGCGUACGGCUCAACCGUAUUUUGUCGGUAGAAACUGCAGGACUUGAGGCUGGGAGGGGCUGGCGGAAUUCCCUGUGUAGCGGUGAAAUGCGUAGAGAUGGGGGAGAACACUCGUGGCGAAGGCGGCCAGCUAGACCAGUUCUGACACUGAGGCGCGAUAGCGUGGGGAGCAAACAGG